AUUGAACGCUGGCGGCAGGCCUAACACAUGCAAGUCGAGCGGAUGACGGGAGCUUGCUCCUGGAUUCAGCGGCGGACGGGUGAGUAAUGCCUAGGAAUCUGCCUGGUAGUGGGGGAUAACGUCCGGAAACGGGCGCUAAUACCGCAUACGGCCUGAGGGAGCAAGUGGGGGAUCUUCGGACCUCACGCUAUCAGAUGAGCCAAGGUCGGAUUAGCUAGUUGGUGGGGUAAAGGCAUACCAAGGCGACGAUCCGUAACUGGUCUGAGAGGAUGAUCAGUCACACUGGAUGUGAGACACGGUCGAGACACCUACGGGAGGCAGCAGUGGAGAAUAUUGGGCGAUGCACGAGUGGCUGAUCUAGCAAAGCGGCGUGUGUGAAGAAGGACUUAGGAUGGGUGAGCGCUGAAAGUUGUGAGGAUGUGCAGUAAGUUAAUACCGGGCUGUAUUGACGUUACCAGGAGAAUAAGCACCGGCUAACUUCGUG
This 484-nucleotide ribosomal RNA is filed under the name uncultured bacterium. RNAcentral describes it as "partial 16S ribosomal RNA". It matches the Rfam family "Bacterial small subunit ribosomal RNA", at positions 30 to 507 of the family's 1533-position model. The record is from RNAcentral.